UGUCACAGGGCAACUCUUAGACAAUAUAAAGGAGUAGAGACAAUACCAUAGAGAAGAUUAGCAUGGUCCCUGUGCAAGGAUGACACGCAAAUUCAUGAAGAAUUCCAUAUUUUU
Molecule: small nuclear RNA, 114 nt
Filed under: Spermophilus dauricus (Daurian ground squirrel)
Lineage: Eukaryota; Metazoa; Chordata; Mammalia; Rodentia; Sciuridae
Source: RNAcentral